Molecule: long non-coding RNA, 3485 nt
Filed under: Daucus carota (carrot)
Lineage: Eukaryota; Viridiplantae; Streptophyta; Magnoliopsida; Apiales; Apiaceae
Description: long non-coding RNA (DCAR_LNC005515)
Source: RNAcentral
AAGCUAGUAAAUAUCGUAUUUUCAUGUCAUAAACGAUCCAAAGGGGUACCAAUUAUUUGUAAAUAUAAAUAGACUUUUAUGUAACUUAUUUUCACCCGUAAAAUCAUUUCACCAGUUUCUGUUCACGAAUACCGAGAGAAACCAAACUUUGUUCUUCGUGUUCUUCGUAAUCAAACGAGGAUUUGAAGGUGUUAUUGGAAUCCGAUGGAGGCGUAUGAAUAGUCAAAACGAAGCUCUCGACGCGUAGAAUAUAGUAUAAUCAACUAUAACGCUGCAGAUUCAUCAGGUGAUUUUACAUGAUUUUUACAAAAUUCGAAUUAAAUGAUUUUAAAUUAUGAAUUUUUGCAAACGAUUCCGUUUAUGUGAUUUGAUGAUUCUAUGAUGUAGAGCAUGUUUUUCUCGUCGUUUUGGUAUAUUAUAUGUUGAAUUUUGACUUUGGUAACAUAGAGAAAAGUUAGUUUGAUUAUUGACUUGAAUGUUCUUGAUUGUUCUUGAGCUUUCGCCGGAAAGUUAUGAUUUUUGGCCGGAGAAUCUGUUUUAAGAAGUCUGGGUAGAAACUAAGCUCACCAUCAGGUAGAUCGUGUCAUGGGAAAUCGUUUGUUGUAUAAAACAGGGGUGGAGAAGGCUAGAAACAAGCUCGCCAAAAUUUUAAAAUCCGACGAUGUUCUUCGUUUUGAUUCAAAUUUCCUGCUAAACUGUUGAUCUUUUGUUGUUUUAAAUCCCACAAAUGUGUUCCUGGCAUCAUAAGGUACUGAUCUGCAUUGUUUGGAAAGUUUCCGGGUGGUUUUUGGCCACCGACGGUGGCCGACGGCGAGUGGAGGGGGCGGCGCUGCAAUUUUGCAGUUUAGCCCCCAAUCUUUUCAAGGUGGUGAAGUUGUUGUACCUAAGUUUUGAAUCUUACAAAACACCCCCUGUAACUUUUGAAAGUUACAGUUUAAACCCUGGACGAAAACUUUCAAAAGUUUACAAAAUAAACCUUUUGAUUUAAUUUUCUAAAAUUGUUUUAUUUAAUUAUUUUAAAUUCCAAAAAUAGUUUUUAAUUAUUUCUUUAUUCAAAAAUAAAUCUAAAUUAGUUUAUUAAUUAAUUUUAAUUAGUAAUUAAUUAUUUUAAUUGGUCAAUUAAUUUAAAUAUUAAUUGAUUAAUUAUUUUAAUUAAUUAUUAAUUGAUUUUAAUUGAUUAAUUAAUUGGAUUUAAUUAAUCCUUUUUGAUUUAAAAAUUCCGAAAAAUAGUUUCGAGCUUUAAAAUAUUUUUCCAAAUUAUUUUCAAGGCUCGAUAAUUGUUUAUGAAUGAUUUCAAGUCCAAUUUCAAGUAUUUGGGACUUGAUUAUUUAUCCGAAAAGUGAUUCUUUUAUCGAUUUUAAUUCCGAAAAAUGUUUAAAAAUUCCAGAAAAUUCCCGAAAAAUCAUUUUUAACCCAAGAGUUGAUUUGAUAUCAAUUGGGGUGGGAAACCUUAUGUGUAAUGUGUUGUCUGCUAUCUGUUUGAUGUGUUAUGUGCCGAUAGAGGAGUUAGAAAACGGUUUUGAUCAUAACUUUUGAUCCGUAAGUCGGAAUCAAGUGAAACGAAAGAGAGACAGAAGCUUAUAAAGUCUAGUUUGAUAUGACAUAAUAUUAUGAUGGAGUCGAGAAUCUGAAUAAUUUUUGUUAAAUGUGCAAAAUGUGAUUAUAUGUUAUUUGGUUGCUAUUAACUAAUGACUACGUGAUAUACAUGUUUAUUCAUGAUAGUAUAUGCGUGUGAUAAAUGAUUUGGAUGACAUAGUGUCGUGAGUUGAUUGAUAUUGGAUAAGAAUAUAUGGAUUAUAGUGAUUGGAUCUUGUUGGUUGAUUGUUGAUUGAGAUAGGAUAACAGGUGGAUAGUCUAAUAAAUAGACGAGACGAUGUCGGAUUUUCGAUAGGAUUCAUAUGAUAAGUGAUUGGUAAUAUGUUAUGUGGAAUAUGACUUGACUAUAUGGUAGAGUCAAAGCAUGAUUACGUGUUAAGUGAUAUGUGAUAAGUUUAAAGGGGUAUAUAAGUGGGUAUCGAUAUACGUGAUAUGUAUAUGCGAUAUAUUGUUUAGUGACUAUAGUAUUAUCUUAUUCUCGUAAAGGAUUUGGACGAGACGUGUACGCUCGAAGACGUCAGAAAGUCGGAAUGGUAUUGCAAAGCGAAUAAGGGAUGAAUCGAGUAAGCGAAGCGAUGUGGCGAAUAGAGUAUAGCUAGAGAUGGUCUAGAGAUUAUGAGAUGCAUAGAUUGUGAAAGUGGAAAGAUGAGAAUGAGCUGUGAGACGGGAGUCAGAUUUAAGGCAAGUAUCCUAUACCCUUCUUUUGGAUAUCUUGCGAUUAUUCUGAUCCAUUCUUUUCGUAUGUGUUGCAAAUAUUCGUUCCUCUCUUUUUCAUAUUUGGCAAGUGCAAAUAUUUUUAUCCAUCCUUUUCUAAUCCUCAAAAAUUCAGAUAAUUCCAGUUUUACAAAUUAAUUCGAAGUUCAGAUUGUCAUUGAAGCAUGUGUUGCUCAGUGAUGAUUAGAACCUAGAAUGACUUGGGAUCUUCUUGAUUAUUCAACCCGCCAUUGUCAUGCUGGUUUAGCAGGCUAAAUUCAGUUGCUUAGCCGAUAAUGGAGGAUACUGAAUAGUUAAGGAUUUCCUGGAUUAUGAUUUAUGGAAGGAUGGACUCUGGUUUAUGAAAAGUUGAUUAUCAAAUGUUUGAUUGGGAAUUAUUUUAUCAUGGAUAUUGAUUGUGGUUAUGUUCUGUUGCUAUACGUUGACCUGUUAUUGAAUUAUAGAAUUGGAUUAUUGUUUUUAUAUAAACCUGUGGACCAGAUUCGUGGUCAUGUUAGGCCAAUGAGUGCCUUGGAUCCAGUGAUAGAGCAUGGCGGGGCCUGCUCGGGGUUAGUGCGGAACUGAUCAGCUGCCUAACCUUGGUUUUAAUUAAAAUGUGAUAGUCCAAUUCAAUAAUUCUUUGGAAAGAUUGAAUUCCUCAGUUUAAAUGAUGCAAGGUAUUGUAAAUCAUUCUAUGCAAUACCAUGAACUCAUGAACUCAGGUUGAACCCUCUUAUAUCUUGAACUCGUGAACUUCUGUUAUAUCAUUUCAGAAUUAUCAUUGUUUAUUAUUACUUGCUGAGCAUUGUUGCUCACCCUUGCUAUUCCUUUCUAACCAUUUCAGAAAGGCUAAAAGAUGAGAUGAUUGAUUGAGAUUGUGGAUAAGGCUAAUGCUAGGCGAGGAGACAGAAUUGAGGAUCCAGUGGUCGAGGAGUGUUCAGGAAAGUUGAUGAGGGUGGUGCAAGCUAGAGCUGUGCUAUAGGGAUUCAAGUGAAAGUCAUAGCUGGAAUAGUUAACAGUGAUUCUUCUUAUCGAAGAUGAUCUGACUUGGUAAGAAAAGUUGUGUAAUAUUAGUGGUGGAUUCUAAUUUCAAUACUGUAACCUGGAAGCGAUCCUGUUGUUUUUGGGGGUUAAAUGUUCUCUUAAAAUUUUCUUAUUAUGGUUUUCAAGUUUGAAAUUCAGGUUUUAAAAUCAUU